GACGAACGCUGGCGGCGUGCUUAACACAUGCAAGUCGAACGGUGAAGGGACCGGCUUUUGCUGGUUCUGUAUGCGUGGCGCACGGGUGAGUAACACGUGAGUAACCUCCCCCCUUCUUCUGGAUAACCGCAUGAAAGUGUGGCUAAUACGGGAUAUUCUGCGCCUGCUGCAUGGAGGGUGUGGGGAAGAUAUUGUUUCGGUGGGUGAUGGGCUCGCGGCCUCUGAGCGUGGUGGGGGGGGUAUGGCCUUCCAAGGCGGUCGCGGGUAGCCGGCCUGAGAGGGUGGACGGACACAGUGGGAGUGAGACACGGCCGAGACUCCUACGGGAGGCAGCAGGGGGGAAUACUGCACAGUGGGCGAAAGCCUGAUGCAGCGACGCCGCGUGAGAGAUGGAGGCCUUCGGGUUGUAAACCUCUUUCGCCAGUGAAGCAGGCCUGUCCGUUUUGAGGGUGGGUUGACGGUAGCUGGAUAAGAAGCGCCGGCUAACUACGUG
RNAcentral lists this ribosomal RNA (493 nucleotides) under uncultured bacterium. RNAcentral describes it as "partial 16S ribosomal RNA". It matches the Rfam family "Bacterial small subunit ribosomal RNA", at positions 28 to 507 of the family's 1533-position model. The record is from RNAcentral.